This 1436-nucleotide long non-coding RNA is filed under the name Solanum pimpinellifolium. RNAcentral describes it as "long non-coding RNA (SPIM_LNC000177)". The record is from RNAcentral. Lineage: Eukaryota; Viridiplantae; Streptophyta; Magnoliopsida; Solanales; Solanaceae.
UUUCUUGCUCCGUUUCCUUGGUACCCGAACCGGAGAACUAUCCACAAGACCGCUUCAUGCUCCAAACUCGAGAAGAAGCUUUCGAAGGCGCGUGUACCAUUACUUGUACUUAUUAUUCCACUAGUUAUUUUUGGCAAGAUCAAUAUAUAGUGAUCAGUUAUGAUUGCUCAAACUACGGUACAUAGUUUCAAGUUAGGCCUUACUUCAGUCUGGUCUCCUCUCCCAGGUCUCAGCUUCAGGCUCCCACUGAAAAACGUAUGAAAAUGGCAAGGCAAGCAAAUGCACGAACGUAUUGGAGGCUUUCUCUCAUAAGAAUCUUCUUUUCAUCAGUAUACGCCUGAUCGGCGAGUUCAGUCACACCUAUAGGUCCGCUACUUCAAAGGCAUCGCCUCACUUAGAUCGCCGGGGUUGGAGCUUCUUCGACCUCUAGCCAUGACACUCCUCCCUUACCUUGGGCUUCAGUAGGUUUCCUAUGCUACUGAAUCAGAUCUUUGGCUUUACCGUGUUACUAUUCGGAGAAUGGAGGUAAUCUCUCUCUAUCUUCAGUCAGUCAUUUCUACCGGCUCUGGCGCUACGCACCUUUAGGAAGGAAAGCAAGUCCCAUCGAUUGAGCUGUUGAUGGAAUAAGGGUUGAUUUCAAACUUGAAAGAGGCCCAGGUCUUGGAAUCGGGCUAGGAGCAGCUAUUGAAUUUGUCCAGUCGAAAGGGAAAGGCGAUGACUAUCAGUUCUGACUCUUUUUCCAAAGGAAGCGAGUGGAAUAUAAGACAGCGAGUAAGGGAGUGAGUCUGUCCAAAUAAGCUCUUAAGAAGCGGAGUUUCACUCGACAAAAAGGGUUUGGACUGAAACCAUUCUCAGACGGAAUCGACUGACUUCUAGUUGCAUCGGAUCUAGAGAUCUGUUGCCAGUUCCGAUAGAAGGAAAGGAGUAAGGUNGGCUCUUAAGAAGCGGAGUUUCACUUGACAAAAAGGGUUUGGACUGAAACCAUUCUCAGACGGAAUCGACUGACUUUUAGUUGCAUCGGAUCUAGAGAUCUAUUGCCAGUUCCAAUAGAAGGAAAGACCAACUCUAUCUUAACGACCGGUAAAGCCCUUUCUCUAGGAUAUGGCACUUCACUGCUCGGAGAGGAAUGAAUUCUUCUCCAAAUCAUCUCUUCCUUUAUUGUUGUUAAGAAAGAAGUCAAUUACGUUCGAGCUUUUUGUCAACUGAUUCCACUCAAGCAAUAGAAAGAAAGGCUAUCUCCUCUAAUCUCUAACUAUGCUGAGUUCAAUCAAGCUAAGAACUAGUCGACCUCCUUACUUCUUUACCGCUCCUUCCCCUCACCCUCAAGUCACGACCUAAUGUAAGUUCUUUCAGUCCUUUUCGAGCUAGCAUAGCUGCUGAUAUGGAAUAGCCCUUCUCUAGCCUGGAGCCUGGAAAAGCAAAGUCCGAUCUACGAU